Molecule: non-coding RNA, 54 nt
Organism: Salmo salar (Atlantic salmon)
Lineage: Eukaryota; Metazoa; Chordata; Actinopteri; Salmoniformes; Salmonidae
Source: Rfam
GGCACUUAACCCUGUAAGUAGCUCUGGAUAAGAGCAUCUGCUAAAUGACUAACA